Molecule: ribosomal RNA, 253 nt
Filed under: uncultured bacterium
Lineage: Bacteria
Description: partial 16S ribosomal RNA
Rfam family: Bacterial small subunit ribosomal RNA
Source: RNAcentral
UACGGAGGAUGCAAGCGUUAUCCGGAAUUAUUGGGCGUAAAGCGUCCGUAGGUGGGUUGUCAAGUCAGUUGUCAAAGGAUGAGGCUUAACCUCAUAAAGGCGACUGAAACUGAUAGUCUAGAGUGCGAUAGGGGCAAGGGGAAUUCCCAGUGUAGCGGUGAAAUGCGUAGAUAUUGGGAAGAACAUCGGUGGCGAAAGCGCCUUGCUGGGUCUGCACUGACACUGAGGGACGAAAGCUAGGGGAGCGAAAGGG